RNAcentral lists this unclassified non-coding RNA (346 nucleotides) under soil metagenome. RNAcentral's name for it is "partial contains 5.8S ribosomal RNA, internal transcribed spacer 2, and large subunit ribosomal RNA". The stretch from base 1 to 121 matches the Rfam family "5.8S ribosomal RNA", at positions 35 to 154 of the family's 154-position model. The record is from RNAcentral.
GAUGAAGAACGUAGCGAAAUGCGAUAAGUAAUGCGAAUUGCAGAAUUCCAGUGAGUCAUCGAAUCUUUGAACGCACAUUGCGCCCCCUGGUAUUCCGGGGGGCAUGCCUGUCCGAGCGUCAUUGCUGCCCUCAAGCACGGCUUGUGUGUUGGGCCUCCGUCCUCCUCCCGGGGGACGGGCCCGAAAGGCAGCGGCGGCACCGCGUCCGGUCCUCGAGCGUAUGGGGCUUCGUCACCCGCUCUUGUAGGCCCGGCCGGCGCUUGCCGACACAUCAAUCUUUUUUCCAGGUUGACCUCGGAUCAGGUAGGGAUACCCGCUGAACUUAAGCAUAUCAAUAAGCGGAGGA